This 466-nucleotide ribosomal RNA is filed under the name uncultured Anaerolineaceae bacterium. RNAcentral describes it as "bacterial SSU rRNA". It matches the Rfam family "Bacterial small subunit ribosomal RNA", at positions 903 to 1381 of the family's 1533-position model. Lineage: Bacteria; Bacillati; Chloroflexota; Anaerolineae; Anaerolineales; Anaerolineaceae. The record is from RNAcentral.
UACAAAUGAAUUGACGGGGGCCCGCACAAGCGGUGGAACAUGUGGUUAAUUCGAUGCAACGCGAAGAACCUUACCUGGGCUUGACAUCCACGGAACCUGCUGGAAACAGUGGGGUGCCUUUCGGGAGCCUCUACAGGUGUUGCAUGGCUGUCGUCAGCUCGUGUCGUGAGAUGUUCGGUUAAGUCCGCUAACGAGCGCAACCCUCGCUGUGUGUUACAAGUGUCACACGGUACUGCCGGUAUUAAGUCGGAGGAAGGUGGGGAUGACGUCAAGUCAGCAUGACCUUUAUAUCCAGGGCUACACACACGCUACAAUGGUCAGUACAAUAGGUUGCCAAGCCGCGAGGCGGAGCCAAUCCUAAAAAGCUGGCCUCAGUUCAGAUUGCAGUCUGCAACUCGACUGCAUGAAGUUGGAGUUGCUAGUAACCGCAGGUCAGCUAUACUGCGGUGAAUACGUUCCCGGGAUU